CGUCUACUGUGGUCGCUGCAGCAACAGUCCGUGCUGUCAAAAGCAGAAAAAUAUUUCCUACAAGAGCAGCACUUACUUUAGUGAGUGGAUAAUUGACAUCUGUCACCAAAUGCAGUUAAAAAGAUCAAGGAGUUAUUAAAGGGCAAAGAUGAAUAUGUAGGUCUAAGAGUUGGUGUGAAACAGC
This 184-nucleotide unclassified non-coding RNA is filed under the name Dufourea novaeangliae. Its description in RNAcentral is "iron-sulfur cluster assembly 1 homolog, mitochondrial, transcript variant X1". The record is from RNAcentral. Lineage: Eukaryota; Metazoa; Arthropoda; Insecta; Hymenoptera; Halictidae.